UACGGAGGUUUUCCUCGACAGUUAACUGCAGCCGGUUUCAAAUUACUCGACAGUUAACUACCGAGGAAACA
Molecule: microRNA precursor, 71 nt
Filed under: Medicago truncatula (barrel medic)
Lineage: Eukaryota; Viridiplantae; Streptophyta; Magnoliopsida; Fabales; Fabaceae
Description: MIR2629 microRNA precursor family
Rfam family: MIR2629 microRNA precursor family
Source: Rfam by way of RNAcentral